RNAcentral lists this ribosomal RNA (253 nucleotides) under uncultured bacterium. RNAcentral describes it as "partial 16S ribosomal RNA". It matches the Rfam family "Bacterial small subunit ribosomal RNA", at positions 524 to 776 of the family's 1533-position model. The record is from RNAcentral.
UACGUAGGGGGCAAGCGUUGUCCGGAAUCAUUGGGCGUAAAGCGCGUGUAGGCGGCUCGAAAAGUCUGGUGUGAAAUCCUGCGGCUCAACCGCAGACUGUCACUGGAUACUGUCGAGCUUGAGUCCGGAAGAGGAGAGUGGAAUUCCUGGUGUAGCGGUGGAAUGCACAGAUAUCUGGAGGAACACCGGUGGCGAAGGCGCCACUCUGGGCCGAAACUGACGCUGAGGAGCGAAAGCAUGGGUAGCAAACAGG